Molecule: ribosomal RNA, 468 nt
Filed under: uncultured bacterium
Lineage: Bacteria
Description: partial 16S ribosomal RNA
Rfam family: Bacterial small subunit ribosomal RNA
Source: RNAcentral
GACGAACGCUGGCGGCGUGCUUAACACAUGCAAGUCGAACGGAAAGGCCCUGCUUUUGUGGGGUGCUCGAGUGGCGAACGGGUGAGUAACACGUGAGUAACCUGCCCUUGACUUUGGGAUAACUUCAGGAAACUGGGGCUAAUACCGGAUAGGAGCUCCUGCUGCAUGGUGGGGGUUGGAAAGUUUCGGCGGUUUGGGAUGGACUCGCGGGUUAUCAGCUUGUUGGUGGGGUAGUGGCUUACCAAGGCUUUGGCGGGUAGCCGGCCUGAGAGGGUGACCGGCCACAUUGGGACUGAGAUACGGCCCAGAGUCGUACGGGAGGCAGCAGUGGGGAAUAUUGCACAAUGGGCGGAAGCCUGAUGCAGCAACGCCGCGUGCGGGAUGACGGCCUUCGGGUUGUAAACCGCUUUCGCCUGUGACGAAGCGUGAGUGACGGUAAUGGGUAAAGAAGCACCGGCUAACUACGUG